AUACGUAGGUGGCAAGCGUUGUCCGGAAUUAUUGGGCGUAAAGCGCAUGUAGGCGGUAAUUUAAGUCUGUCGUGAAACUGCGGGGCUCAGCCCCGUAUGGCGAUGGAAACUGGGUUACUUGAGUGCAGGAGAGGAAAGGGGAACUCCCAGUGUAGCGGUGAAAUGCGUAGAUAUUGGGAAGAACACCGGUGGCGAAGGCGCCUUUCUGGGCUGUGUCUGACGCUGAGAUGCGAAAGCCAGGGUAGCGAACGGGAUUAGAUACCCCGGUAGUCCUGGCCGUAAACGAUGGGUACUAGGUGUGGGAGGUAUCGACCCCUUCCGUGCCGGAGUUAACGCAAUAAGUACCCCGCCUGGGGAGUACGGCCGCAAGGCUUAAACUCAAAGGAAUUGACGGGG
Molecule: ribosomal RNA, 396 nt
Filed under: uncultured bacterium
Lineage: Bacteria
Description: partial 16S ribosomal RNA
Rfam family: Bacterial small subunit ribosomal RNA
Source: RNAcentral